UAAAAUUGGAACGAUACAGAGAAGA
RNAcentral lists this non-coding RNA (25 nucleotides) under Drosophila erecta. Lineage: Eukaryota; Metazoa; Arthropoda; Insecta; Diptera; Drosophilidae. RNAcentral also lists the same sequence under 7 other names. The record is from RNAcentral.